UACGGAGGAUGCGAGCGUUAUCCGGAUUUAUUGGGUUUAAAGGGUGCGCAGGCGGAUUUUUAAGUCAGCGGUCAAAUCGUGGGGCUCAACCCCAUCCAGCCGUUGAAACUGGGGAUCUAGAGUGUGCGAGAGGUAUGCGGAAUGCGUGGUGUAGCGGUGAGAUGCAUAGAUAUCACGCAGAACCCCGAUUGCGAAGGCAGCAUACCGGUGCACAACUGACGCUCAGGCACGAAAGCGUGGGUAUCGAACAGG
Molecule: ribosomal RNA, 252 nt
Filed under: uncultured bacterium
Lineage: Bacteria
Description: partial 16S ribosomal RNA
Rfam family: Bacterial small subunit ribosomal RNA
Source: RNAcentral